Non-coding RNA from Amborella trichopoda, 1260 nucleotides. NCBI's taxonomy places the organism in Eukaryota, Viridiplantae, Streptophyta, Magnoliopsida, Amborellales, Amborellaceae. The record is from RefSeq and is a predicted model, not a curated record.
GUUCAGGAAAUUUUUUUGAACUGAGUAUAUUUUUCCUAUAUAUAUAUGUAUGUAUGCAUAUGCACACACCCUCUAAAAUGGGAACUCAAAAAGUCACAUUAUAUACUGCGCUAUUCAUUUUUUUCAUGGGUGAGUAUUGCCCUGUUCAUGUGCUUGUGCUUGCCUUGCUUAUGUCUUGACCUGGAAUGUUUAUGGGCUUGUUCGAGUAGACAAGUCAAGUCAAACCAAGCACAAGGUAGUCCUCGACCCAUGCUUGGCUUGCCUUGUGGCACUCUUUACUGAAUCGGUGGAUUCAACGUAUUGAUGACCUAUUUAAUCUGGAUAAUAUUGUUGCAAACAUGACUAAGGACUCGCCUGAGUUGACUGUGUCAGGUUGAUGCUCAGUUGGCUGAGCCUCAGGUGGAUGUGGUCUGAGUCUUUUGAGAAUUGGCCUUGUCUAAACAACUCAACUUGGAUCAGGAUGAUACAGAAUCCCGAUCUAAGUCAGUGUUCUUCAACUGCUUAAAGAGUGCUCGAUGUGUGUCAGGCAGUGCUAGAUUCUUCAGAUCAUUGUUUAUCCUCUUAAUCUAUUUAAACAUAUAAUAUUUAAACAUAACGCUUUCUGAUUAUCUAUUUCUUGCAGAUUGCAGUUUAUGAUGGUGAGUGCCUCGGUGAGGAGGGGGCAGAUAAACCGGAAAGCAAAGGUCCAGAUGUUAAGAAACCUGCUAAAAAGAAAGCUGUAAAUUCCAAGAGGAAGAAAUUCAUGGAUGACUCUAAAUCAGAAAAUGAAGAGAAUGAAGAGAAUGAAGAGGGUGAUGCAAACGGCUCAGUUAAGAAAAAACAAAGGGGACGAAAAGUGAAAGCUGCAUCAGGCCGAGGCAGGGGCAAGGCUGCCGGUAAGAGCCCAACAGAGUCAAAGGGAAGCUCAGGGCGAGGCCAAGGUCGGGUAAAAACAGGGAAAAUAGGAAGGCCUAGAAAAUGAUGGCCAAUCUCACAAACUUUGUUCUUUGUUGGCCCAUUUUUGCACUUUGGGAAAUGAUCGUCAUUUAGUUGCAAUUUUCUUUGUUUCUUGGAUGUUAUUUAUGUCUUGUUUGAUUUGGCUUCUCAGGUUGUGUUCCAUGAGAGUUAAUUGGAAUUGGGACUGGGUGGAUUUGAACUUAGGAGGGCUCAGAGUUCUUCACGUUUUAGUUCAAAAAAUUCUCAUUGUUUGCGCUAAAUGGCGUAAAAUCUAUGCACUUAUGUUUUUCAGCUUAUAUCAAUUAAUCUGGAUUGUUUAUGGAA